Cyprinus carpio carpio is the source of this 699-nucleotide long non-coding RNA. The record is from Ensembl. NCBI's taxonomy places the organism in Eukaryota, Metazoa, Chordata, Actinopteri, Cypriniformes, Cyprinidae.
UCCUGUCAUUUGUCAAGUGUCCAGAGAUCACUCCUGUCAUGUCCACAGAUGCUGUCUAGUCCCCAGAGUUCACUCCUGUCAUGUCCACGGAAGAUGUUGUCAAGCAUCCAGAGUUCACUCCUGUCAUGUCCACGGAAGAUGUUGUCAAGUCAUGCCUUCAGAGGUUGUCCCUACCCAUCAUGUCUGGGCCAUACAAAGUGUUCCUGCUUGUCCUGUCACUCCUAUAGAGGUCGUUCCUGCCAGUUGGGUCAUGGCCAUAGUUGUUCCUACCGUCAAGUUAUGGCCAUAUAAAAUGUUCCUGUCUGUCCUGUUAUGUCCUCGAAGGCCGCCCUUGCCAGUUGGGUCAUGGCCAUGGAGAUGCGUUCUUGUUUGUCUUGUCAAGCCCACAAAGGUGGUUCCUGCUAGAAGUUGCACUCACUGAGAUCAUACUGGAUCAGCUAACUGCUGCUUCUGACGAGUCCCUCAGAGGAUGUUCCUGCCUAGAAGUUGCACCACUGAGAUCAUACCAGACCAGCUAUCUGCUGCUUCUAACGAGUCCCUCAGAGUGAUCCAGCUAGUCAUGUUCCACCUGUGGAGGCUAUCCCCCAGUAUACUAUCCCUGUCAUGACCUCUGAAGAUGUUCCUGAACAGUCUGCUCAACCACAGUGCUACCGCUUGAUGCUGACUUUCACCACAACCCCCCCCCCCCCGCUACCUGCA